This 253-nucleotide ribosomal RNA is filed under the name uncultured bacterium. RNAcentral's name for it is "partial 16S ribosomal RNA". It matches the Rfam family "Bacterial small subunit ribosomal RNA", at positions 524 to 776 of the family's 1533-position model. The record is from RNAcentral.
UACGUAGGGGGCAAGCGUUGUCCGGAUUUAUUGGGCGUAAAGAGCGUGUAGGCGGUUUGGUAGGUCCGUUGUGAAAACUCGAGGCUCAACCUCGAGACGCCGAUGGAAACCAUCAGACUAGAGUCCGGAAGAGGAGAGUGGAAUUCCUGGUGUAGCGGUGAAAUGCGCAGAUAUCAGGAAGAACACCCGUGGCUAAGGCGGCUCUCUAGGACGGUACUGACGCUGAGACGCGAAAGCGUGGGGAGCAAACAGG